Molecule: ribosomal RNA, 484 nt
Filed under: uncultured bacterium
Lineage: Bacteria
Description: partial 16S ribosomal RNA
Rfam family: Bacterial small subunit ribosomal RNA
Source: RNAcentral
AUUGAACGCUGGCGGCAGGCCUAACACAUGCCAGUCGAGCGGAUGAAGGGAGCUUGCUCCUGGAUUCAGCGGCGGACGGGUGAGUAAUGCCUAUGAAUCUGCCUUGUAUUGGGGGAUAACGUCCGUAAACGGGCGCUAAUACCGCAUACGUCCUGAGGGAGAAAGUGGGGGAUCUUCGGACCUCACGCUUUCAGAUGAGCCUAGUUCGGAUUAGCUAGUUGGUGGGGUAAAUGCCUACCAAGGCGACGAUCCGUAACUGGUCUGAGAGGAUGAUCAGUCAAACUGGAAGUGAGACACGGAACAGACUCCUACGGGAGGGAGCAGUGGGGAAUAUUGGACAAUGGGCGAAAGCCUGAUCCAGACAUGCCGCGUGUGUGAAGAAGGUCUUCGGAUUGUAAAGCACUUUAAGUUGGGAGGAAGGGCAGUAAGUUAAUACCUUGCUGUUUUGACGUUACCAACAGAAUAAGCACCGGCUAACUUCGUG